GCGGGUGUAGCUCAAUGGUUAGAGUUCCAGCCUUCCAAGCUGGUUGUGCGGGUUCGAUUCCCGUCACCCGCUCCA
Molecule: transfer RNA, 75 nt
Filed under: Rhodospirillaceae bacterium
Lineage: Bacteria; Pseudomonadati; Pseudomonadota; Alphaproteobacteria; Rhodospirillales; Rhodospirillaceae
Description: tRNA-Gly
Rfam family: tRNA
About the family: Transfer RNA (tRNA) molecules are approximately 80 nucleotides in length. Their secondary structure includes four short double-helical elements and three loops (D, anti-codon, and T loops).
Source: RNAcentral